GACGAACGCUGGCGGCGUGCUUAACACAUGCAAGUCGAACGGUAAGGCCCUUCGGGGUACACGAGCGGCGAACGGGUGAGUAACACGUGGGUGAUCUGCCCUGCACUUCGGGAUAAGCCUGGGAAACUGGGUCUAAUACCGGAUAGGACUCCUGCCUGCAUGGGUGGGGGGGGAAAGCUUUUGCGGUGUGGGAUGGGCCCGCGGCCUAUCAGCUUGUUGGUGGGGGGAUGGCCUACCAAGGCGACGACGGGUAGCCGGCCUGAGAGGGUGACCGGCCACACUGGGACUGAGAUACGGCCCAGACUCCUACGGGAGGCAGCAGUGGGGAAUAUUGCACAAUGGGCGCAAGCCUGAUGCAGCGACGCCGCGUGAGGGAUGACGGCCUUCGGGUUGUAAACCUCUUUCAGCACAGACGAAGCGCAAGUGACGGUAUGUGCAGAAGAAGGACCGGCCAACUACGUGCCAGCAGCCGCGGUAA
RNAcentral lists this ribosomal RNA (478 nucleotides) under uncultured bacterium. Its description in RNAcentral is "partial 16S ribosomal RNA". It matches the Rfam family "Bacterial small subunit ribosomal RNA", at positions 28 to 523 of the family's 1533-position model. The record is from RNAcentral.